Molecule: long non-coding RNA, 1357 nt
Organism: Hylaeus volcanicus
Lineage: Eukaryota; Metazoa; Arthropoda; Insecta; Hymenoptera; Colletidae
Exons: 3
Source: RefSeq, a predicted model, not a curated record
UUCUUAAGAUGGUUAGGUCUAAAAAUACGGUUGAAAGGUGUCAUGGCACUUGUCGUUAUGAAUUUCCACAUUGUUACAGACCAAUUGGGGCAUAGAGUAAAACUCUUUGGCUAUAGCCGAUACUUUUGGUAAAAAGCGGCCAGGUAUACGAGGAAAAUCAUGAUGCUCAACGUGGUAUCCAAGAUUGUAUGUAAAGUAAUUCAUAGUACCGUAAUAACUAUUUGUUUCUUGAAACGAGUCUCCCUACAAGUGUUUAAAAACAAAAUUUAGAGGAAGUUUAAGGAAAAUCAAGCAAAAGUAAAAAAAACAAGUAAAAUACUUUUGGGAAAACAUAAUGUUCCGAAAUAAAGUGUCCAGCAAAAGGAUGAUAAUUCAUUGCUAUUGUAAUGCAAAGACAAUCAAGGGAAAUACAUGCUACAACAAAUCAGACGUGAAAAAAGGAAACCCCACCAAAAAAAGUUCCUAAAAUAAGAUAUAAUAAGGAAUUGAUACUCCAAUAGUAGGCAAUAAGAAAAUCAACAAUAAUAACGGAGAUAAUAUUAACAAAGUCAAGGCGUGACAUCUAGUGGAAAACGUGGCAUCUUAUUGAUACUAUAUUAUAUAUGAAAAAUAAAAUACGUUACUUUUUUAGGAUUUACAAGAAAUGGUCGUAAACUAUAUGUAAACGGAAGUAAACCAAUCCAAAUGAAUUUUCCUAAAAGAGAUUGGAACAAUCGAGCUUCCAAACGGGUUGGAAGGUCAGGAUCAAGCCCUUCAACUCCUAAAUAAACAUGGUGAUCUUGAUGAUACCGUGCGAAAGGUCUACAAAGAAGAUACAAGAGUUUUUUUUUUUUAGUUUCGAUGGGGUUUUGAGAAUCACCAUACAUAGCGACGGGUACAGCCAUUGGUAAGGAAACUAGAAUACUCAAUAGAUAACUUAAUAAUCCCUCUGGUACAACAGUUCCAUGAGACGUCUCAUGAACAGCAGCAAACAAUGAAUGAUUUAAUGUUCCGGAAAUAAAAUAGAUUAUUAAAAAGAAAUUCCAAUAGGAUAAUGUAUAAGAUGAAACAUAAUAACUGAUAAAAAAUUGUAAAAAGACGGUUGAAAACAUUAGGAUGGCUUGGAUAGGAUCUGUCCCGUAAAGCUCUUCUAUUUCAGGGUAUUUUUUUAAUAUAGCUCGGCGUCGAAAACAAUGUGGAUGAGGCGAAUUGAUCCGUAUAAAGUCCGUUAACUUGGAAUUGGGAAAACAACUUGAAAGAAAAAACAAAGUAAAAGUUAAUUGAAGAAAAAAAAAUUUUUUUUUUUGAAUUGUUUGUUCGUUUUUUACGAUUUGUGGCCUAAUUUGUAUUAAAAAACGACAAGAAAGCGAAAUUACAG